GACGUAGGAGGCGAGCGUUGUCCGGAUUCAUUGGGCGUAAAGAGCGCGCAGGCGGUCGUUCAAGUCGCGUGUGAAAGCCCCCGGCUCAACUGGGGAGGGUCACGCGAUACUGAUCGACUCGAAGGCAGGAGAGGGAAGUGGAAUUCCCGGUGUAGUGGUGAAAUGCGUAGAUAUCGGGAGGAACACCAGUGGCGAAGGCGACUUCCUGGCCUGUUCUUGACGCUGAGGCGCGAAAGCUAGGGGAGCAAACGGG
RNAcentral lists this ribosomal RNA (253 nucleotides) under uncultured bacterium. RNAcentral describes it as "partial 16S ribosomal RNA". It matches the Rfam family "Bacterial small subunit ribosomal RNA", at positions 524 to 776 of the family's 1533-position model. The record is from RNAcentral.